RNAcentral lists this ribosomal RNA (796 nucleotides) under uncultured bacterium. Its description in RNAcentral is "bacterial SSU rRNA". It matches the Rfam family "Bacterial small subunit ribosomal RNA", at positions 8 to 796 of the family's 1533-position model. The record is from RNAcentral.
AGAGUUUGAUCCUGGCUCAGGAUGAACGCUAGCGGCAGGCUUAAUACAUGCAAGUCGUGGGGCAGCAGCUCUGUAGCAAUACAGAGGCUGGCGACCGGCAAACGGGUGCGGAACACGUACGCAAUCUACCCAAAACUGGUGAAUAGCCCUCCGAAAGGAGGAUUAAUACACCGUAACCUAUUGAAGUGGCAUCACUUUAUUAGUAUAGCUCCGGCGGUUUUGGAUGAGCGUGCGGCUGAUUAGAUAGUUGGCGGGGUAACGGCCCACCAAGUCUGCGAUCAGUAACUGGUGUGAGAGCACGACCAGUCACACGGGCACUGAGACACGGGCCCGACUCCUACGGGAGGCAGCAGUAAGGAAUAUUGGUCAAUGGACGCAAGUCUGAACCAGCCAUGCCGCGUGAAGGAUGAAGGUCCUCUGGAUUGUAAACUUCUUUUAUAGGGGACGAAACCUCUUUUUCUAAAGAGACUGACGGUACCCUAGGAAUAAGCACCGGCUAACUCCGUGCCAGCAGCCGCGGUAAUACGGAGGGUGCAAGCGUUAUCCGGAUUCACUGGGUUUAAAGGGUGCGUAGGAGGGCAGGUAAGUCAGUGGUGAAAUCUCCAAGCUUAACUUGGAAACUGCCGUUGAUACUAUCUGUCUUGAAUACCGUGGAGGUGAGCGGAAUAUGUCAUGUAGCGGUGAAAUGCUUAGAUAUGACAUGGAACACCAAUUGCGAAGGCAGCUCACUACACGAAUAUUGACUCUGAGGCACGAAAGCGUGGGGAUCAAACAGGAUUAGAUACCCUGGUAGUCC